Mauremys reevesii (Reeves's turtle) is the source of this 2231-nucleotide long non-coding RNA. RefSeq lists it as uncharacterized. NCBI's taxonomy places the organism in Eukaryota, Metazoa, Chordata, Testudines, Geoemydidae. The record is from RefSeq and is a predicted model, not a curated record. The transcript has 4 exons.
CAGAGCAGCAGGACUGCAGACACCAUACUGUGGGUAAGACUGAGCCCAGGGAGGGCUGUUGAAGACUGGGGAAGUGAAGAAGGAGCUUCUGGCAGGCUUCAGGGACUGAGCCCAGAACCUAGCCAGACCAACUGAGGAUUAAGCCCAUGCAGCUGAGGCCAAAGUGAAAAUCCAGAACUGUUGGAUACACUUGGUGGAUGCACCAUCUGGUAUCUCUUGUUCCUUUUCUAACCAUCCUGUUACAGAAAAGCAAAUAAGACUGGCAACACGAGUGCUGGGAAGACAGACUUUGAACUGAGGAGAUUGGUCCCAGGCUGAGAAGGAAAUUCAGGAACAAUAACAUGCCUGCAACAUCCAGUGGGUUUCAGAAAGAGACAUUUCUUGAAUUGCAACUGCAAAGUGAACAGAAGUGGCUUUAAAUCCAAAAGGAUUUCCUAAAAAGCCACCUGGAUCAGGAAGACACAGCACACCGAAGAAGACGGAAAACGGUUGGUGGGAAGCAAUGUUUAUACAACAAAAGGAUUUGUGGCAAAAUAAAGCCUAGCCAGUGCAUACCAAUCCCCAGCUUCUUGUAGGAGUAAUUGUAUGAAAUGGGUGAGAAGUGGAAGUGGAGCUGUGGACAUGAGAAGCAAUGAGUUUUUCAAUUAAAGAGUACCUAGAGCAAUCACUACCCAUGUGUCAAAUAGCGUAUGUAGGAUUUUUGUUUUCGAUAUUGUUGGUUAGAUUAACUCUAGCAACUUUCCUUUGCGCUUCUUGUGCUUACACUAGGAUUUUGUCAGAUACUGUAUCAAAAGGUUUUAAGUUACCUGGCUGGAGGAUAAAAUUGAACAGACGUGGAUGGAAUGCUCUGAUUUGGUGCAUACAGGACAACAUUUGGAAGUCGUCUCUGCUUGAGUCUAGUGCCUCCCUGGGGAUACUUGGAGAUAUUUUGGACCCUGUAUCUUCCUGUCCAUAAGGUUGUGCUACUAGUAUGUAAUACUCUUGAAUGUCCAGGUACUAUUGGAUAAUCAUGUCUAAGUGUCUAAGAAGACUACCUCCCACCCCCACAUUUUUAUACGGCCUGGAGACUGGUGGCUUUGUUGCUAUAAUCUAGCCUUAAAUUACUACAAAAGACUAUAUUUGGGACCACAUUUCAAAUAAACAAAGCAUCUGGAAUUGGUGCAGAAUAUAGCAGGUCUCAUAUCACCUGGUGUAUCUUUUCAUAGUUGUGGUCAGCAGAAGCACUCCAACUGAAGUCCCCUUGGUAUGAAAGAGGGAGCUGCUGGAAGGGGUCCUCCUAUGAAGAACCCUCACUUUUGGGACCUGCUAUCCACAUUGGCCCAAAAAUUGCCUAAAGGUGUUGACUUUCAGGGAACAUUGCAAAGCUAAUCUUUUUACCCAGGGAGCAAUGUGAUGAGGGCUGGCAUUUGUGACUGAGGCAGGGUCUUGUUGCCAUUUUCAUGAGGAGAAACUCCUGGUUUUCUUUCUUUGCAUUGUAUUUUUAACCAUGUUAAAGAUGACUAAAGCUCUGGAUAGGCAUUUUUAAAAUGGGUUAUAAAUGUACAUAAACAAAAAGCCUGAGAUGUCUCAUAGUUUUGGAUGAGAAUGCCACACUUGGGUCUGAGACACUCUGUUUAUUAAUUCAAACCUUGUUUUAACCAUAAGCAUUCCUUGUGAUUACAAUUCUUAUUAAAGUAAGAAAUGACAGAGAAAAAAGCAGUGGCCUGUUACCUUCUCCUGGAGAUAGGUGGGUCAUGAUGGAGCUUCAUAGGAGAAAUCCAUCUGCCUCUUACAACCUUCCACAUAUUAUACACAUCCAAAUUAGAUAUUCAUUAGCUCUUUUCCAAUCACCAUUAUCUAACUCAUACAAGACACGUGUGAAUUUUGAAUGACAAUUUUUGCUGUCUUUGCUAUAUUCAUGUUAAUAUUUCUUUUUGAUUGGUUUAUUACCACUGCUUAGGCACUCAUUGUACAUAUUUUGGCCGGGUCACUUUGACCUGUUUCUCUGCAUAGGAAGUUUGUGCCUGUUUUUCUCUAAUUGCGUCUUGAGAUCACAUUUUAUGUAUCUGUUGUCUGCCAGUAACUCCAUUCCAUGUAAUAUUCUCCCACUUAGGCACAUUGUGUGGCUAUACAGCACCUAUAAACAAGUUUACUUAAUAACAAGGUCACUAAGGCAACAUUUCACUCAAACUAGACCAAAGCUAGCCUUACUGUCCAAACUUGGGCAUUAGACAUGAUCCUUUAAAAAUAAA